GAAAGUGGAAGGGAAAGAGGAUAUCCAGACCGUCUCCCAGGUUCUUGGAGUGCUCCUGCAGCUCCUGGAUCUUGUUGGAUAUGGCGUUCUGUGCCGGGUGCGGCAGAGUCCUGGCAGAGGCCGACAGAACCACCAGAGGGUCCAGCCAGGCUUGGAGCAGAGAGCGAGCCAGAGACAACAGCCCAUACAUGUGUGCGUACAUAGUGUGCUCACAUGCACACACAUGUACACACACGCACACACAGCUGUAAAGCGGAGCUACACACCCCCUUUUCAAGGAGAGAGAGAGCACACUCAGCUCACAGGACCCUGAAAGCCCACUCUGGUGAUUCCUGCACACACUGAGACUCCAGACCAGGACCGAGACGUCCCACCUGCACCUGUACAUCGGACACGCAACCCUCAACGCACGCACGCACAGCAGCACCGCAGUCAUGUCGGACUCUGAGACCGCCGCCGCCCCCGCCGAGGCCCCCGUCCCUGCCGCUUGUGCCAGCAUCAAGGCCGACCUGGACAAAUGUGUGGCAGAGAAGGGAGCCGAGGGCUGCAAGGAUCUGAUGGAGGCCUUCGCUGCUUGUGUGAAGAGCGCAGCAGAGGCGACGUCGUGAGGAAGUUGCUCUACAACUUCCGAUGUCCCUCAAUUUGGUCCACUGCACUGAGUCCUCCAAGUUCCCAGCAUUCCCUUCUGCACAACAGCACUGGACUGAACGAAAACAACAAUGACGCUGAUGCUGAUGAUGAUAGUGAUGCACAUGGUGUUUGGGAUCUGGCAGCAGUAAACCAGUUUCCUCCUCUGUCUUUAAACUUACCCCGUGUUCCUCAGUCUUACCCCUCUGUCCCCCCCCACCCUUCUCCUCCAUGGGUGACAUUUCCAGAGAGCCGAUGGGCUGUGAUGUAAAUUGUCGACUUGAAAUGAAAUCUUAUAAAUGGAAAUAAAAGUGAAUAUUGAUAUAAA
Solea senegalensis (Senegalese sole) is the source of this 955-nucleotide long non-coding RNA. RefSeq lists it as uncharacterized. The record is from RefSeq and is a predicted model, not a curated record. Lineage: Eukaryota; Metazoa; Chordata; Actinopteri; Pleuronectiformes; Soleidae. The transcript has 6 exons.